Molecule: long non-coding RNA, 2089 nt
Filed under: Olea europaea subsp. europaea
Lineage: Eukaryota; Viridiplantae; Streptophyta; Magnoliopsida; Lamiales; Oleaceae
Source: RNAcentral
CUAGAUAAACUUAGGGCAGAAUAUAGGAUCCCUGAUAACAUAGAUCUUAUAUUGCCGGAGCCCGAUAAACGAGCUUGUUACCUUAGGCCAGGGUGUGUGGCUGUGAGCUAGGCGCUUUUCAGGGCUGGUCUUAAGCUACCUAUCCAUCAUUUCUUCCGAUACGCUCUUAGGUCACAUGGGUUAGCUCUGACCCAAUUAAACCCAAACUCCUAGAACCAGAUGGUAGGCUCCUGGAUGUUGUGGAAAGAGGCGUCUCUUGGGAUGGAGAUGCCCUUUUCAGUCUUCCAGACCCUGUACAACCCCAAAGUGGCGGCUGGGGGGACAAGACUAAGGGGUGGCAUUAUUUAACCUCCUGGGGGGCCCAUACUCCAUUCGUCCUAGACCUGCCGAGCUCAAUAAAGGACUGGAAGACGUCGUGGUACUGGGCAUCCGGAAGGUGGGACACAAUAGAGGGGGACCCCCUGGCGCUUCUCAUAGUUCCAAAUAUGUAUUCAUCACUUAGUGAAUGCUGAUGCAUUGUGUUUAAAUUUGUUUUGAGCUUCAGUUCGAUUCCUAACCUUUUUUUGUUUUUUGCAGGCACUCUUCCUCGAUGUGAGAUAUCCACUGAGGACUUUGACAUAAUUUGCAUCGUCUAUCAGCUUCCACCGAAGAGGAGAUCUUAUCACGAGCUGAUUAAGAAGAACAUACACUUCGUUACGCACGAUCUAAUUGCUUCCCAAGGUGAGUAUUUGGAGUAACUUUAUUGUAGUGGGUUUCCGAACUCUAUAUACUUGUACUAAUUUUCUCAUUUCUCUGUAGAUGAUUUCAACAAGAAGAGGUCCUUUAGGCCUGAUUUUAAGACCAUCCAAAAAAUGAUGGCCGAGACAAGAGCCUUGAAGACCUCCUCCUCUACUUAUAAGAAGCAGACGAAGGACUGCAAACAAGAGGCUUCAACCACCGAUAGAGGAGGAAGCAAAAGACCCUGAGGCAAACUUGUUGAGGAAGGGUAAUAAAGCUGUUGGCUCCUUGAAGGGGCCAACCAUGGCGAGGCUCUGAGGCAAACCACAAUACCUACUGGGGUGGCCAUUCGGGAAAAGACUGCUCCCCAAUCCGAGGCUGUCCCUGUUGCUACUGCUACCCCGAUCGAAUCCUCAUUUUUUACUGUGCCAAUUUUCCAACUGUUGGGGCAACAGAGGAGGAAGAGGGCUUGCCCCGCGAAGGAGGUAGAUUUUCUAGGCGUCAACAUUGACGAGCUCGUAAAGGAGGUGUUGGAAGCCCUGCCUCCAGAGACGGCUACAGUGGCGGUGGUCCACCAUAAAUACUGGACCGAAGAGAGGGGGACCACACCGCGUCCUGCACUACAGAGGACCUUGUUGUGGCUAACAGUGCAUACAUCGCCCAGGCUCUUAGUACAAGUGUACAACUUGAGGGUUUAGUAAAGGACCUCAAUGCUAGGAGUGAGGACCUGACCAAGUGUCUGGAGGAGGCGAUGCACUUCAGGGAUGCAGUGCGGGCUGCCCAAGCAAAGGCCUCGGAGGCGAAGGAUCGACUGGUCAAAGCUAAUGAGGAGACAGAGAGGUUGAAGAAGGAGCUCUAUGAAGUGGAGUGCUAGGUGGCUGCUAUGACAAGGAGAGUCGAUCAUGCCAAUGAGUACCACUGGCUCGCCACUGAGGCUCUGGAGGCCUCCAACAAAGAGAAGGCCAAGUUGAGGCAACGGGUAGAGGCCUAGGCUGAAGAGAUCAAAUCUUUGAAGAUCGAGGUGAAGGCGACGGGAGAGUCAGCAGUGUGGAACUUUAUCGAUCACUUCGAAGAACACCCACUGUAUGACGACUUCGCCAACUUCUGGGUCUUGUGGAAUGUCUAGACAAUGUUGGAUCGUCUAAGGUAGUUCCACCCAACUCUGGAUCUAACUUCCCUGGAAGCGGAGUUCGAUGGGCCUAUUGGAGGUAGACCUGAUAGGGCCGCUGAGGAAGCUACUAAAGCCCCCCAAGAGGCUGAAUCGGAGGCUGGAGCUGAAGAUGCCCUUUUAGUAGAAUAGGAAUAUUUUGUAAUGGCUUUAGCCCACCUCUUGUAAUUUACUUUAAUGUUAAUGAAAUUAAAAAUUUUUCAA